Molecule: long non-coding RNA, 2377 nt
Organism: Columba livia (rock pigeon)
Lineage: Eukaryota; Metazoa; Chordata; Aves; Columbiformes; Columbidae
Exons: 2
Source: RefSeq, a predicted model, not a curated record
AAAGAAAGGAAGAAAAGUGCUGGUAUUCAGUUCCUGUGAGCUCUUGCUCACUUUGAGCACUGUUCCUAUUACACAAUAAUGUGUUAUUUUGUUGAAUUUUGGCAUCCAUCUAGCUUGUCUGGUCAGGAGCCAAAAAAUUAGAGUGUGUCAGUCCACCAGUUCCUCUGCAGAGAAGCGUUCCCCUCGCCCAGCGCGUGCUCCGCGCUCCUGGCCCCGGGCCAGCAAGGGAAAUCCAUUUUACAUAAAGAACGCACAGAGCUCAAGAGCUCCGAGACUUUUUACCUACUAAAAUAACUUUAUGGACAAAUGCCAGUCUGCGAGACACAGGCGGCAGAGAACAUUUGGCACCGAAAACAAGAAACGAGGAAAUGGCUGUCAGUGCCGUCGUGGCACGUCACGUGACUUGGCAGCGCCCGCCCCAUUGGCCGGCCCCGCCGCCGAGGCAGCCGCCAUGUAAGGAGCGGAGAGCUUCGCCCCUCGCUGCAUCCUUAAAAUGGCGGACCUGCCGCGCGCCCGGCGAGGCGAGCCCAGCCCAGCCACAGCCGCACGGAUUCUUUUUUCUUCUUUUUAGUUCCCCCUCUUUUUUUUUUUUUUUUCCCCUCUUUUCCCCCCUCCUUCCCCCUCCGCUGAAGUUUUUAUAAACCUUUACAGAUUUGAGUAGAAACAGAUUUCUCGCAACUCGCUCCGCGUCUCAAUUUCACAGCUCAGCAUACACUCAGGCACUGUCAAAAGCUUGACAGCGUUCCAGGGAAAAUAUUAACUGUAAACUUUCCAACAGGAAUUGAAGGGCACGCACGGCUCCCGUCAGGAUGUCCCCUCCGCCAAGCGCGGACAAAGCCAAUGUUUUCACAGGUCCCCAAAGCUCAAAAGCCACCGCCACCCCCAAGAUGGUCCCGCUUGGGCGCAGUUAAGCGGGACGGCUCCUCUGCGGCGACGGAGCCUCGCGCUCGCAGCCCGGCCCGCGGAACACUGCAUGCUCUGGUGUAUAAAUAUUUGCCUCUGGCUAAAGUUCAAGCAGCCCCUCUGUGGCUGCCAGACACAACAGAAAACCAACAUCCAAGGGAAAGUGUUUGCUGCAGCACUGGCCAACGCAGCGCCUGCCAGCGAGGGAACCAAACCGGCCCGCGGGCGCUUAUCACCAAGUACCUGGCUGACCGCCACCCUUCCCGGGAAAUGGUUAAUGUAUUUAACGUGCCUGUCGGUAACGUAUUUAACAGACCUGCUCGCCCUUGCUUGCACUGAGGGCCUGCCAUGUGGGGUCUGUGAUGGCAGAGGGAGAACAUGUCUCUCCCAAGGGAUUAACCCUUUGCUAAGUGAAUAAUGGAAUCAUAGAACCACUUUGGUUGGAGAAGAUGCUCAAGAUAGAGUCCAACCAUUAACCCAACAGUCACUAACCCACGUCCCUAAGAACCUCAUCUCCGAGUCUUUUAAACCCCUCCAGGGAUGGUGACUCCCCCACUGCCCUGGGCAGCCUGUUCCAAUGGCCAACAGCCCUUUCCGUGAAUAAUUCUUUUCCUAAUAUCCAAUCUAAACAUCCCCUGGCACAACUUGAGGCCAUUUCCUCUUGUCCUGUCACUUGUUACUUGGGAGAAGAGACCAACACCCUCCAAGCUACAACCUCCUUUCAAGUGGUUGUAGACCGCGAGGUCUCCCCUCAAGCCUCCUGUUCUCCAGGCUGAACCCCCAGGUCCCUCAGCUGCUCCUCACAGGACUUGUGCUUCAAAUGUCACCAAUGCCACCAGUUAGCUCAGGCGCUUUCUGCCCAAUUUCAGAAGCUGGGCUGUUAUCUCAGGCUGGAACCCGCACGCUCGCACACAAAAGCUUGCAGAUGGUUUCUCCUCUGCAGAGCCAACUGCUGGGAAGAGACGACAGAAGAGCGGCCACAUACGGGAUGUCUUUCAGCAGCAAAAAUUAAUAGAUUUUGAAAUAUACAGCGCUGCUUGGUGAUGCAACGCUGUUUAAGGGAUACAAAAAUAAAUUUUCUCACCCCUCUCCCACCCUCCAAACCAAACAUUACUUAGAAUCUUCACCAAAUAAGGGUAGCAAAAUACAAGUAAUUCAACUCAUGAAUCAGCAGCUUCAGAUAUUCACAAAAUCACUGCAGAAAGAUAAAGAGAGAAGAAAGAAAAACUAUCUAGGGGAACCCUACAGGAGGCCUGGCUGUGAUCAUGGCUGUUAUCAUUGCGGUCAUCCUUGAACCAGCUUCCCAAUACACCAAUAACUGUGGUGUUAAAAUGCAGUAAACGAACAAUGCCAAGACACUGCACAUCUGACUUGUUCGUGCCGUAAAUUAAACAGGACUUUACUCUGAACAAAUGUGAAAAACUGUAUUUUGGGAAAAUGUCUCAAAGAAAGAAAGAAAGUGGAAUUAAGGAGG